Long non-coding RNA from Herpailurus yagouaroundi (jaguarundi), 627 nucleotides. RefSeq lists it as uncharacterized. The transcript is spliced from 2 exons. The record is from RefSeq and is a predicted model, not a curated record. Lineage: Eukaryota; Metazoa; Chordata; Mammalia; Carnivora; Felidae.
AAACCCUUCCCCCACUCUCCAUGUGGGGCGAGGGGGCACUCUUCAUCAAAUCCUACUUUCGGGACAUCUGUGUCACUGUGAAUGUAAACAAGCCCCUUGGCUCCCAUUCAAGCAUUGUUGCAAAUUUUCCUCUUCUGGACACUCCUGCUCCAGGCUGUGGGCCACUGCAAAGAACCCUUCUUCCUUUAGGGAUUUCUCUGUCUAAACAGGAUUUAUGAUGAUCCCUUGGCAAGGAUCUUUGAAUCACUGCCUUUCACAGUAUGGCAAAAGAGUAUUUCAGGAGAAUCUACCUCUAACAAGUAAUACAUCCCUGAAGAUUUAUCUGUCUUGAUGAAAUGGACACAGCCUGGUGCUCCCAGGAUACUGUGUCUGGACAGUUGCUGCUGCGGCUGCAAAGCCAGUGUAACAGACAUGGCAUUGAAUGGAUUAGCGGUGUGACCUCGGGCAGUUGUUUAACCUCUCCGCAUAAAUGGUCUCAUCUAUAACAUGGAGAUGAUGAGGUCAUAUUCCCGGGGCUAUCAUUAAGAUUGGUUUAAAGAAGGUCACUAAGGAAGGUUAUAUUAUUGUUGUGAGAUAACUCACACAUAUGUAUAUAGGAUACGUGAGUAAUAGGUACGUUUCCCAAAG